UACGUAGGCAGCGAGCGUUGUUCGGAAUUACUGGGCGUACAGAGUGUGUAGGCGGUGCUCUAAGUUCGGUGUGAAAUCUCCUGGCUUAACUGGGAGGGUGCGCCGGAAACUGGAGUGCUUGAGCGUGGGAGAGGAAAGCGGAAUUCCUGGUGUAGCGGUGAAAUGCGUAGAUAUCAGGAGGAACACCUGUGGUGUAGACGGCUUUCUGGACCAUUGCUGACGCUGAGACACGAAAGCGUGGGUAGCAAACAGG
Molecule: ribosomal RNA, 253 nt
Filed under: uncultured bacterium
Lineage: Bacteria
Description: partial 16S ribosomal RNA
Rfam family: Bacterial small subunit ribosomal RNA
Source: RNAcentral